Molecule: unclassified non-coding RNA, 283 nt
Filed under: Hevea brasiliensis (rubber tree)
Lineage: Eukaryota; Viridiplantae; Streptophyta; Magnoliopsida; Malpighiales; Euphorbiaceae
Source: RNAcentral
AUGUCAGAUGCACAAAGUCAUAACGAUAAUAUUAUAUAUAUAAAUAGGAACUCUAAAAUCUCUAGAAAUUCUUCACUACAGCAUAACUGUUUGAUUCCACUUCCAACUUCAAAUGUGAGUUAAAUAUGAUUCAUUAGCAAUCCAUUUUCAGAAAUCAAUCACUAUCCAUUAAACAAGAUCUUGCUUGCAAAAUAGGUAUAUUGACGAUGUACACCCAGCAUUCAGACAACCAUUAAACAUCACCAUUCAGAACGGAAGAUAUUGUGACAUUUAUACUGCAAAG